GGGUGACGAGCGGCGGACGGGUGAGUAAUGUCUGGGAAACUGCCUGAUGGAGGGGGAUAACUACUGGAAACGGUAGCUAAUACCGCAUAACGUCGCAAGACCAAAGUGGGGGACCUUCGGGCCUCAUGCCAUCAGAUGUGCCCAGAUGGGAUUAGCUAGUAGGUGGGGUAACGGCUCACCUAGGCGACGAUCCCUAGCUGGUCUGAGAGGAUGACCAGCCACACUGGAACUGAGACACGGUCCAGACUCCUACGGGAGGCAGCAGUGGGGAAUAUUGCACAAUGGGCGCAAGCCUGAUGCAGCCAUGCCGCGUGUGUGAAGAAGGCCUUCGGGUUGUAAAGCACUUUCAGCGGGGAGGAAGGCGAUGAGGUUAAUAACCUCGUCGAUUGACGUUACCCGCAGAAGAAGCACCGGCUAACUCCGUGCCAGCAGCCGCGGUAAUACGGAGGGUGCAAGCGUUAAUCGGAAUUACUGGGCGUAAAGCGCACGCAGGCGGUCUGUCAAGUCGGAUGUGAAAUCCCCGGGCUCAACCUGGGAACUGCAUUCGAAACUGGCAGGCUAGAGUCUUGUAGAGGGGGGUAGAAUUCCAGGUGUAGCGGUGAAAUGCGUAGAGAUCUGGAGGAAUACCGGUGGCGAAGGCGGCCCCCUGGACAAAGACUGACGCUCAGGUGCGAAAGCGUGGGGAGCAAACAGGAUUAGAUACCCUGGUAGUCCACGCCGUAAACGAUGUCGAUUUGGAGGUUGUGCCCUUGAGGCGUGGCUUCCGGAGCUAACGCGUUAAAUCGACCGCCUGGGGAGUACGGCCGCAAGGUUAAAACUCAAAUGAAUUGACGGGGGCCCGCACAAGCGGUGGAGCAUGUGGUUUAAUUCGAUGCAACGCGAAGAACCUUACCUGGUCUUGACAUCCACAGAACUUUCCAGAGAUGGAUUGGUGCCUUCGGGAACUGUGAGACAGGUGCUGCAUGGCUGUCGUCAGCUCGUGUUGUGAAAUGUUGGGUUAA
RNAcentral lists this ribosomal RNA (1001 nucleotides) under Klebsiella sp. 42. Its description in RNAcentral is "bacterial SSU rRNA". It matches the Rfam family "Bacterial small subunit ribosomal RNA", at positions 86 to 1083 of the family's 1533-position model. Lineage: Bacteria; Pseudomonadati; Pseudomonadota; Gammaproteobacteria; Enterobacterales; Enterobacteriaceae. The record is from RNAcentral.